Long non-coding RNA from Triticum dicoccoides, 2195 nucleotides. RefSeq lists it as uncharacterized. The record is from RefSeq and is a predicted model, not a curated record. The transcript has 2 exons. NCBI's taxonomy places the organism in Eukaryota, Viridiplantae, Streptophyta, Magnoliopsida, Poales, Poaceae.
CAUUCCAUCAUCAAGGACGCUCUAGCUUCGGAGCCCUUCGCCACCUCCGAGAUCCGCCGCCGCCACCCUCUCUGAUUCUUGUCGACGCUGCCGGCGACGCCAUCCGGCUCUCGCGUCAGCUGCCACCAACGUGGCUCCACCCCUGUCUCCCCCAUCGAUCCCCAGCACCUCCUCGCUGUUCCCCCCUGCGCGCGCCCCUGUGGGCUGCGGCUAACCCUAGACGCCAACUCGUGUUGCGGGCACUGAGGAUGGGAGCGGGCGGCCGCAUCGCUAAGGGGUUGGAGCGGCUGGGGCGUCACCGCCGCCGAACUCCGGGAAUCGCCGCCGCCAAGUCUCCAGGGCAGGGCGGUUUCAAACCCUGCCGACGAACUCCAGGAUACGCAUAAUCAUUGCCGCCGCCCCCCUCCCCCGGCUGCCCCGCGGUCUUCUAUCUCUCCCAACUCCGCUGUCGCGCCACGUCUUCCGUCUCUGCAUGAAUCGCGGCUGUGGCAGCCACUCCCCAUGGCGGCCAUCCUGGCACACCGUGUCCGGGAUGAUGGAGGUGAUGUCGGCCAGGUCCCUGUUUCCGUCGGCAUCUUCUGCGAUGAGACCCGUGGGGGCAGGUUGCACGCUGAUCUGCGUCGAUGGCGUCGGCGUGGUCCUUCCCCUGCCAAGCGUGGCUGCUCCUUGGCUGGAUCAUAGUGAUGAUACAGUCGGCUCGGCGGGGGCUAGGGAUCUCGCUGGCUAGCGUUUAUUUGAUGUCUGGAUGUUCCAAUUGUGAUGGAACAGACGUAUAAUGUACUGUACAAGAAUUUGGACGAGGCUCAUCUGCGUGGAUGGUUGUGGCUUGGCUGCCGGGCACACAAUCCAUUGAUUCACACAUAAGGUCAAAACCGAGUCGAGGUGUUCACAAUGCUGGGCAUUAUUUAUAUCAAAGGACGAGGAGGAAGAUUUGGAUGACCGUAACCAAAAUGGCAAGGGCAGCAACAUGGUCGUCACCUGCAAUGCCGAUGGGUGCUGAGAUUAAGAUGUUUGGUUUAUUUGUUGAAAGUUACAUCCCAUGUUUCAUGAUUUAUUUGCCGCUGGUUAAUCAUGAUAUUUUGAACUGCUCUGACAAUUGCUUGCUGUCUGCGUCUCUUACUUUCCAACUUGCUGCACAUACAGAUAUACAUCAUUAGAAUCUCUUUGUACUUAUUCAACAUGCUUCAGUUAUGCUUCUUUGAAAAUCUAGUUGUAGAUGCAGUGAAGCCCCAUUUAGAUCUUGGCUAUAGUAUUAUUCUUGUCUUAUGACUUAUGACGGAUUGAUAUGUGAUACCAUGACAUAGCAUUGUGGUACCGUGGUAGUCACAUUUGGUGGUAGUUCUAAUUAUUUGCUAGAUUACGAGAUAAGACCAAGUGCUUCUGCAACUCGGUUGCGAUUUUGAUAGGAACAUGAAGACUUGUGCCAUGCCAUGGAGCAUGUUUGAUUUAAAGGAGUAAGUCAACAUACAUCUUGUUUCUUAUGUUUUAUCUAGAGAAAAUGAUUGUUCCUUGUGAGUCAUUUUCUUCUACAAAUGCAGCAUAGUUGCUCCAAUAUAUUGAGCAGGGAAGAAGUUUGUUACAAGUGUUUUAUAGAGUUGACGCAGGAGACAUCCGACGGGAUACAUUGGCAGGCACUUCAUGAAAGGCGGACUCCAUUUAAUCCUUUCCAGUUGCUUACUGAACACCAAGCCCUAUUUGAUAUGCUUGAUGAUUGUUAUAUAGGUGCAGGAAUCGACGAAGAAGCUUCCGUUCAGCAUGGUAUCUCAAUGGAAGAAUAUCCGAAGCAAACCUCCGCUACUUGUCUGUUCCCUUUCAUUUGUCGUGGGAAGACCUUAGGAAGGUAGGAAGACCUUAGGAAGAGUGGGUGGGAGGAAGGGAGGCAUGUGCUAUAGAUGUAGGCGAACAAUGGUCCUUGGAAAUUAUUAGUACUUUACAAAAUGUCUGUCCCCUGUGACGCCUACAAUGAGCGAGAGAGGGUGGAAGGAAGGGAGACCGGAGGAAGGAAGAUGGGGAUAUAUGUAGAGAGAGGGAGAUAGGAGGAAGGGAGAUGGGCAUAUAUGUAGAGAGAGGAAGAUCAGAGAGGGAGGGAAGAUUUACAGGACGAUUGUCAUUGAGCCACUCAAAUAUGUAUGUCUCUGUUGCAUCACACGGGCAAUUAACUAUAGAAAAAUUCAAGGCUAUUUUUUAAAGUGACA